Molecule: long non-coding RNA, 2108 nt
Organism: Carassius gibelio (silver crucian carp)
Lineage: Eukaryota; Metazoa; Chordata; Actinopteri; Cypriniformes; Cyprinidae
Exons: 3
Source: RefSeq, a predicted model, not a curated record
AGGCUUGAUGAGCAGAAGAAACUUAUUUCAAAAACAUUAAAAAUAGUAAUGUUUCCAAACUUUUGGUCUGUACUGUAUAUAAGCAACACGAUACAAUGUCAUGCAUACUGACUUCUAAUUUCAAUGCUUUUCGAAUAAUAAUAAUAAUAAUAUUUUUUUAUAUUAAUAUAGAUUAAUAUUAACUAUUCCAAUGUUUAUAUUUCAGUACACUGUAAAAAAUUUCUGUAAAUUUACAGCAUAUUAACAGCGUAAAUAUACAGUACUGAACUGUUUUCUAAAAUUACGGUGUCUUACCGUAAAUGCACACGUGAUCGGUGGGAGAGGGGGAACCAAAGGCUAGCUGACGCAUGGAGGAGCAUGGUUUCAGUCAAAGUUUUAUGGAUUUCAUCUCAAGUUGAGGCUCAUUUACAGGUAAGCAGAUCAAAGUCUGAAUACAUUUUUAUCUUAAACUGCAGCGUUUUUUUUAAUGUGGGCACAAUAUUUGAAUUUACCUUUGACAAAUCUUGCCAAGACGGUGAACUAGCAUGUAUGCAAUUUUUACAAAUUUCUCCUGAAAGUUAAGUGUUUAUGAGUGUGUUUGUGAAGGAUUUGCAUCGGGUUUUUUUUCCUGGUGUAAAAUCCUGUAAAUGUUAAACUUGUAAAUAGUUAAAUAUAAAAUACUUGCGUUCGCUGAUUAUUUAAUUGGAUAUGAAUUGAACAUAUUUGGCCACAAGAUGAGCACGUGAUCGGUGGGGGAGGGGAGCAACGGUUAGCGUCUGAUACCAGAGAAAAGUCUCUGUGAAUAAAACGGAUAUUAUCUCAAAUAUAAUCUCGAUUACAGAUUGCAGAUAACGAGGAUAUGAAGUAAGUGUGUUUUCCUGAUUUUCUGAAACACUUAUUUGCACAAUUAUAUUUACAUUUUGCAUUGGCGCCAACCCAGUGUAGUUUAAAAUGGAGGAUUUGUUUUAUUUGCAUUAAUGUUGCUAAGUUAGGUGCGUAUAAAGUUGGUAACUUAUAUAUUAUCCUUAUAUAUUGGGAAAUCGAAAAUAGGCCUGUAAACUUAAUUUUACUUAGGAAGCAUAAACUCAUCGCCUUUUGCAUGAGCACUUGACUUGAUAGAUGGAAAGAGUAGCGUUAACGUUAUGGUGAGAAACGUUUGUUUUUUUCGGAGUGACACAUUAGUCUUUCAAUAUAAGUCGUAUCUAAAACUAGUUAGAGUGUAAUCUAAAUAUAUUCGAACUUAUUAUUAAUAAAGUGGGCUUUGUAUGUGAGCACAUUUUAAUUUUAAUUUUGCACUGGAUUUAUUGGCACAAAUCUCUAUAUCACAGAGGAAACGUUACUUCAUUCACUUACAUUCUAACUUGUUCCUCAGCCUCAAAUACAGUUUUGUGUGUGUGUGUGAGAGUGUGUGUGUGAGAGAGAGAGAGAGUGUGUGUGUGAGAGAGAGAGUGAGUGAGUGUGUGUGUGUGUGUGUGUGUGAGAGAGAGAGAGAGUUAGAGAGAGAGGAAGAGGAGAGAGCAGUAGACAGAAUAUUUUUAAGUGUUUUUAAUGAAAAGUUGGAGGAUGUCCCAGGAUGAGAACAAAGAUAUGGUACACCUGCUUGUCAAGAUUCUAACGUUAAUGUCCCACUUCCAGGAACAUGAAGGUGGACUGGUUUCACAUGCAGAUGUUGCAGCAUCUGCAUCUGAGGUUGAGAAGACACUCAAUCUACCUGCCAAUCCUCAUCUGAUUUUGCUGGGUUAGUGUGUCAUUGCACAUGAUGAAGAAGAAACAUUUACUGAUGGCUGAGAUAUAAAAUUGUUAACAUUGCUGUUGUGCACAAUUAUUAAAAUUGCUUCUUUUUUUUCUUUUUUUUUUGUGAGUGUCCAGUCAACAUUUUUGACUGCAGUUGCAAGUGUUUGCUGUGCACUACAUCUUCAACCUGCAGUAUCAAGAGGCGGCUUGUUGCACGUUAGAGUUUUUUUCAAAGAUGAUUCUAUGGAAUAAACCCAGAAAGAUGCUCAAAGACCUGCCGAGGCAAGGUAGUCUCCAAGAAGACGGGGAAGGUGGUGAAUAAGAAGUCCACUACAGUCAAUCCAAAGGUUGCCACUCUACAAAAAAAUUGAAUGGACUUCAAAUGGGACUUCAUC